RNAcentral lists this ribosomal RNA (450 nucleotides) under uncultured bacterium. RNAcentral describes it as "bacterial SSU rRNA". It matches the Rfam family "Bacterial small subunit ribosomal RNA", at positions 29 to 524 of the family's 1533-position model. The record is from RNAcentral.
AACGAACGCUGGUGGCAUGCCUAACACAUGCAAGUCGAACGAGACCUUCGGGUCUAGUGGCGCACGGGUGCGUAACGCGUGGGAAUCUGCCCUUGGGUUCGGAAUAACAGUUAGAAAUGACUGCUAAUACCGGAUAAUGUCUUCGGACCAAAGAUUUAUCGCCCAGGGAUGAGCCCGCGUAGGAUUAGCUAGUUGGUGAGGUAAAGGCUCACCAAGGCGACGAUCCUUAGCUGGUCUGAGAGGAUGAUCAGCCACACUGGGACUGAGACACGGCCCAGACUCCUACGGGAGGCAGCAGUGGGGAAUAUUGGACAAUGGGCGAAAGCCUGAUCCAGCAAUGCCGCGUGAGUGAUGAAGGCCUUAGGGUUGUAAAGCUCUUUUACCCGGGAUGAUAAUGACAGUACCGGGAGAUUAAGCCCCGGCUAACUCCGUGCCAGCAGCCGCGGUAAU